GAUGAACGCUGGCGGCGUGCCUAAUACAUGCAAGUCGAGCGAACAGACGAGGAGCUUGCUCCUCUGACGUUAGCGGCGGACGGGUGAGUAACACGUGGAUAACCUACCUAUAAGACUGGGAUAACUUCGGGAAACCGGAGCUAAUACCGGAUAAUAUAUUGAACCGCAUGGGUCAAUAGUGAAAGACGGUUUUGCUGUCACUUAUAGAUGGAUCCGCGCCGCAUUAGCUAGUUGGUAAGGUAACGGCUUACCAAGGCAACGAUGCGUACCCGACCUGAGAGGGAGAUCGGCCACACUGGAGCUGAGACACGGUCCAGACUCCUACGGGAGGCAGCAGUAGGGAAUCUUCCGCGAUGGGCGAAAGCCUGACGGAGCAACGCCGCGUGAGUGAUGAAGGUCUUCGGAUCGUAGAACUCUGUUAUUAGGGAAGAACAAAUGUGUAAGUAACUAUGCACGUCUUGACGGUACCUAAACAGAAAGCCACGGCUAACUACGUG
Molecule: ribosomal RNA, 497 nt
Filed under: uncultured bacterium
Lineage: Bacteria
Description: partial 16S ribosomal RNA
Rfam family: Bacterial small subunit ribosomal RNA
Source: RNAcentral